Long non-coding RNA from Sinocyclocheilus rhinocerous, 378 nucleotides. RefSeq lists it as uncharacterized. The transcript is spliced from 3 exons. Lineage: Eukaryota; Metazoa; Chordata; Actinopteri; Cypriniformes; Cyprinidae. The record is from RefSeq and is a predicted model, not a curated record.
CAGGGCGGGGCUGCACCUGUGCAGGUGAGGACGGGAGGAGGCUGGUUUCACUGAUGUGAGAGAGAGGGCAGAUCUAUCUAUCAAACUCUCGGUAUUCAGCGGGCGUUUCCUGAAGGCUGAGCGUUUUGUAGGUCCGUGAAAUACUCCUGUACUGAGCGAGGAAGGGUUACAAACUAUUUACCAGAUUUGACUGCUUUGGUAAGGAAGAAGGAUUUCACCCAGAUAACCCUGUGAAGUUUGUCCAGGAAACUAACAUCAUGCCGAAAAAAUCAAGUCGGCCUCAUGCAUAUGGUGGCAGACAUCACCACCGAUCCUCCCAUCGCACACCUUCUUACCACCCUGAUGAAAUGCUUCACUUUUACCGCUGGACGUCACCCC